Molecule: ribosomal RNA, 425 nt
Filed under: uncultured bacterium
Lineage: Bacteria
Description: bacterial SSU rRNA
Rfam family: Bacterial small subunit ribosomal RNA
Source: RNAcentral
UGGGGAAUAUUGCGCAAUGGGCGAAAGCCUGACGCAGCAACGCCGCGUGUGUGAUGAAGGCCUUCGGGUUGUAAAGCACUGUUCAGAGGGAAGAACAAAUGGGUUUUGUAGCCCAUCCUGACGGUACCUCUGCAGAAAGCACUGGCUAACUCCGUGCCAGCAGCCGCGGUAAUACGGAGAGUGCAAGCGUUGUUCGGAAUUAUUGGGCGUAAAGGGCGUCUAGGUGGCUGGCUAAGUCAGAUGUGAAAUCCCUCGGCUCAACCGAGGACGUGCAUUUGAAACUGGUCAGCUUGAGUACCGGAGGGGAUAGCGGAAUUCCCGGUGUAGAGGUGAAAUUCGUAGAUAUCGGGAGGAACACCAGUAGCGAAGGCGGCUAUCUGGCCGGAUACUGACACUGAAGCGCGAAAGCGUGGGGAGCAAACAGG